This is a non-coding RNA of Pelobates cultripes (western spadefoot toad), 359 nucleotides long. The record is from the annotation of a GenBank genome assembly. NCBI's taxonomy places the organism in Eukaryota, Metazoa, Chordata, Amphibia, Anura, Pelobatidae.
GUGCAAGCAUAUUAAUAAAAAUGGUUGCGCUGCGCAGAAAUAAUACAGGGCCUUUUUAUCAUGCUAGAGCUUUUCAGUAGAGCUCUGCGCAUGUUCUGACCUGGAAGAGCAUUGAACUAACAUGCUCACUUUGAGAGGGGGCGUGCUUGCCAUCGGUGAUGACAAAACACACACCCUCUGCCCUGCACCCUUCUCAGUGGGCCGCUGUGAUUAAAAAAUGCCCGGGACAAAAAUUUUUCCCAGUCCGGCCCUUGAUGUAACUAAAAGCGACACAUGAAUGCUAUAUAAUCAUGCAAGACAACAAAAUAUAUUAGUAAUAAUUGCAGACAAUAAUAAGAGCACUGUGAUCCAUAUAUCCC